GGUGUGUCCUAACCUCUGUUCUCUGCCUAUUAUUAUUAUUGUUUAUCCUUCAUGUACUUUCUUCAAAUGCAGUUCCUCUGUGUAAGUGUCAUCUAAUCUAUUUUCUUACUGGACUUUUUUGUCCUUUUCCUUGAUAUUUUCAGAGCAUAGAUUUUAUUCUUUACUGAACUAUUCAAUGAUGUUGCACGCUAUGCUCAUUUAACUCACCAGAAUCGAACUGCAGACCUUCAGAAUGGAAAAAAGAGAGAGAGAAAGAGCAAGAGAUGCUUCUCUCCAUUUCUUCUGAAUCAAUCUCUAAAGUUCUACUGGAAAUACAUUCUCGGGAUCCACUGGAGCUGGGCUUAUGAAAUACCCAGAGGGGUGAGUGGAAGGUCUCAUACUUUAGCGUUAAGGCUGUAAGCUAUUUGACUGCAAGAACUGGACUUUAUGUUGUAC
This 435-nucleotide long non-coding RNA is filed under the name Equus caballus (horse). RNAcentral's name for it is "lncRNA (ENSECAG00000028228.3)". Lineage: Eukaryota; Metazoa; Chordata; Mammalia; Perissodactyla; Equidae. The record is from RNAcentral.